UACGAGGGGUCCAAGCGUUGCUCGGAAUCAUUGGGCGUAAAGCGAGUGUAGGUGGCUUUGUAAGUCAGGAGUGAAAGCCCUGGGCCUAACCCAGGAAGUGCUUUUGAUACUGCAAAGCUUGAAUGUGGGAGAGGAUCGUGGAAUUCCAGGUGUAGUGGUGAAAUACGUAGAUAUCUGGAGGAACACCGAUGGCGAAGGCGGCGAUCUGGCCCAACAUUGACACUGAGACUCGAAAGUGCGGGGAUCAAACAGG
This 253-nucleotide ribosomal RNA is filed under the name uncultured bacterium. Its description in RNAcentral is "partial 16S ribosomal RNA". It matches the Rfam family "Bacterial small subunit ribosomal RNA", at positions 524 to 776 of the family's 1533-position model. The record is from RNAcentral.